AACGAACGCUGGCGGCAUGCCUAACACAUGCAAGUCGAACGGGUCCUUCGGGCCUGGUCGCGCACGGGUGCGUAACGCGUUGGAACCUGCCUUUAGGUUCGGCAUAACUCCCCGGAAGGGGUGCUAAUACCGGCUCAUGUCUUCGGACCAAAGAUUUAUCGACCUUGGAUGUGCCUGCGUUGGAUUAGUUAGUUGGUAGGGUAAAAGCCUACCACGGCGACGAUCGAUAGCUGGUCUCUGAGGAAGAUAAGCCACACUGGGACUGGGCCACGGCCCGGACUCCUGCAGGAUGCAGCAGUGCGUAAUACUGGACUGUCGGCUGUAGCCUGAACCACCUAUGCCGCUUGAGUGAUGUAGGUCUUAGGGUUGGAAAGCUCUUUUACCCCGGAUUAUAAUGACAGUACCAGGAGAAUAAGCUCCGGCUAACUUCGUG
RNAcentral lists this ribosomal RNA (433 nucleotides) under uncultured bacterium. RNAcentral's name for it is "partial 16S ribosomal RNA". It matches the Rfam family "Bacterial small subunit ribosomal RNA", at positions 29 to 507 of the family's 1533-position model. The record is from RNAcentral.